This 9376-nucleotide long non-coding RNA is filed under the name Gossypium barbadense (sea-island cotton). RNAcentral describes it as "long non-coding RNA (GBAR_LNC021864)". The record is from RNAcentral. Lineage: Eukaryota; Viridiplantae; Streptophyta; Magnoliopsida; Malvales; Malvaceae.
UUUAAUUUAUUUUCAAUUUCAAUUUAGUCUCCUUUGAACGGCGCCGUUUUAGAGGAGAAGGGAAAAUUUCCCUUCCAGCCUCUAUAUGUAAUUCGCGCGUUUAAAUUAGUCCUUUGGGCUUUAUUUAUUUACGGAUUUACCCCAGAUUUUUUAUUUGCAGUUCAAUUUAGUCUUUUUUAUAUUUAUCUUAAAAUUAAUUAAUUUUAAUAACGUAAUUAUUUUUAUUUUUUAUUAUAAUUUUCAUAUGUAAUUAUUUUUUUAAAUCUAUAUAUAUACAUGUAUAUUUAUUUUUUAUGUACAUACUUAUUUUUUUCCAACUAAUAUUUUUCUCAUAUUUAUACAUAUACACAUUUUUUUUUAUAUUUUGAUAAUAUAGAUGUAAUAGGCCAUUUUAGCCCGGGCCCAAAUAAAUAAGUAUCAAAAAAAUAAAACAACGACCCAAUUACAUUUGGCCCAAUAAGGCCCAAGUCACUAAACCAAACCCUACAUCCCAACCUAGCCCUAAGCAGCGGUUAACAGUAGUCGCCCCACGUUCGGCAGUCUCCCAAACCGUCCCACGUCUUCACUGGCACGUCCACUCGCACCACGCCCACAUAUCUGCAAACCGCAAAUAACAGGAAGAGGAUGAUACACGCAGCAAAAUAGAAAGGGAUUUGGGGUUAUAAAAAGGGAAAUAGAAUCUGUAAAAGGGGUUAGCAAAUUUUUGAGAAAAAAAUUAAAAAAGAAAAUACAAGAGAAAUAAAAGAUAAUUUUGAAGGUGACGGCUUGUUGUUCUUUUCUUCUGUUCUUUUACCAUUUUCAUUUUACUUUUGUUUUUCUUUUGCUUUCUAAAACAAAAGAGAUUAAAGAAGGGGAGUAAAGCUUACCAGCGUGGUGUUGUUGGAUCCCUUUGUUUCAUUACAAUCGAAACAGGGGAAGAGUUUUGGGGGAGGAGAUACGGCACAAUGACAAAGAAAGAAAAAUGGUUUUUAGGGUUUGAAAAAGGUUUUUUUUUAAUUGAUUUUAAAACGGCGCCGUAUUUGGUGUACUCGAAUGCCUGCGUGACCCGACCCAGAAACCCGAUCAGAUCCGCGUGUUUUAAGUAGAUGGGUUAUUUACGAUUUAGGUCCAUGUUUUUAAAAUCAUUUUUUCUUAUUUCUUUAUUAUUUUCAAAUUUUUCCAUAAAACUUUAUUAAUGUUUUAAUUUAAUCCAAUAGUGUGCAGUGUUUCUGGGCGGGUUGGAAAAUUUCUCUUUUGGUCCCUUAUCUAUUGCACCUGUUUUAGCUCACUCCUUUUCUUGUUUUUAUUUUCAAAAUUCGGCUCUCAACUUCUGCUUGACAUUUUAAUUUGGUCCUUAAAUUUUUUUUAUUAGCUUAUUUUUAUUAUGUUGUUUUUAUUGUUUAUUAUUAUAAUUAUUAUUAUAUUAUUAUUGUAUGUACAGGUGCGCAUAUAUAUGUAUGUUAAUAUAUAUAUGUAUAUUAUAAAUGUUUUAAAUAUAUAUAUAGUUCAUAUAUUUUAUUAUUAUACCAUUUUAUUUUUUAUAAUUUGUAUAUAUCGCACAUGCAUUAUUAUUUUAUGAUAUUUAUAAAUUUUUUUCAUAUUUUUAUAAUCCUAUAUAUUUUUCUUUUAAAAUAUACAUGUUCUUACAUUAUUCAAAUUAUUAUAAAUAUAUGUUCGUAUGUUUUUAUGUAUAUCUUUUCAUAUUUUCAUAAUUUAUUAAUAUAUUAUACUUUUAUUAUUUUUUUAAACGUACGAAUAUAUUUUGUAUGUAUUUUAUUAUUAUUUUAUUUUCAUGACUUUUGUAUUCAUAUAUAUGUAUGCACUAACAUUUUAUAAUAAUUAUGCAUUUUUUUUAUAUUUAUUUCAUGGUCAUAUACAUACUAGUAGAAUCCACUUAUAUAUCAUUUAUAUAUAUAUCAUAUACAUGUAUAGUUUAGGUUUAAAAUAUUCAUUUCGUAUUGCAUUGACAUUUUAGUACCUUUUUUUAAAUACAUUUUGAUUUUGUCAAAACAUUUCUUUUAUGAUUUAAAGAUUUUCAAAAUAAAAAACGAUAUUCAAAGUUAGGAAUUUUCGAGGAAAAUUGAGCCCUAACGUAUUGGGUUCUGAUUUUCUUCGUUAAUUCCGAAUAACCGAGAAUAUUCGUUAUUUAAAAUUUAUAUACAAAAAUUAUUUUCGGGAAUUCAAUAUGUUAUGCCCUAACGCAUUGGGCAUGACAUAUUAUUUUCUCGAAAUGAAGAUUUUCUUUAAAAAAUAAUUGAAAAGUGAUAUUCAAAAUUCGGGGAUUUUGAGAAAUUGUACCCUAACGUAUUGGGUCUCAAUUUCUUCGCAUGACUUGAAUAAUUGGUUAUCCUUUUCGGAUUUCAACAUUUGAGUUUAACAAAAUCUUUUUAAUUUUCGACACCAAGACAUUAGAUAAUCAAUUUGGUACCGAUUUUUGGGCGUUACGGGGGUCCUAACCCUUCCUCGUGCGUAACUAACUCCCGAACCCGUUUUCUCAAAUUUCGUAGACUAGAGUCGUUUUUAAUGUGAGCCGACCACACCUCAAUAAAGGAUCGGUGGCGACUCCAAUUUUUGUUUUUUUAAAGUCGACAACUAAAUUUUUGUUUUCAAAAAAUGGUUUCGACAGCUUGGCGACUCCACUGGGGACAUUAGAGAGUCGAGCCAUAAAUUGAUUAUUUUGUGUCUUUUUGUCGAAAAUUAAUGUUGUUUUUAAUAAUGAUUUCCCCUUUGGCAUGCUUUGGUUUUCAUUGUUAUAAGCUUGUUUGAUUGGCUUAAGUCCGUUAGUUAAUUUGAAUUUUUGCAUUUCAUAGUCAAUUUUACCCUUCUAAGUGGGAGUGAGAAGCUAGUCCUUCGUGAGGUUUCACCUCCGUGUAGGAUAGUGGAUCGCUUUCGGGAUACAUCCGUACCUAUGUCUUCGUGAGAUUUUCAUCUCCGUGUAGCCAUAGGGAAAUGUAUUCCCCUGAACCGAACUCGGUCCAUAUGAGCCUAUAAUGGGUGAGGAUCGAGGAAUCUGCUGGUUCGGGUACCUUUGCCCUAGAAACCAAACUACAUAUAGUGAACCUUAAGAACUUGCCCUAGGUAGAACUUUGCCAAACUCCUAGAGGUCACCCGAGUAGGUACUCUAUUUAUUUUCUUGUUCGUUUUUGUUUUGUACUAACUCAUUUUGUUUUGUUUUGAUUAUGAUUGCAUUGCAUUUGCAUCUUAGAAAAGAGAUGUUGGUUCAAGUUCGAUUACUAACUUAGAAAGCUUGUCAUGGAAUACGGAUUUCUUGAUAAAAUAGAAGAUAAUACAGUUGCCCGAAUAUAUCCCGAGAAACACGAGAAGGGCGAUGGAAGAGUUCAUGACUUUACUUCGUGGCCCGAGGAUUCAAGCUGAUUAUUCGAGAGUUACCGACAUUCCAACUUCCUUAAAGAAGCUGAUAAGCCUUACGAGGAUGGGCAGACGAUGGAUUGCAACCAAGAUCAAGCAAAGAAGGAGCUAGUAGUGCUGUUCAUUGGAAAUUUGUGAGAUUUAUCUUAAAACAUCCAGAUGAAGUAAGAGGUCGAUGUUUCUUGGAGUAUGAGGGCGAGGCCGUACAUGCAUCCAUUUUAUGUAAAGAAGUUUGUCUUCUACUGAAGUUUUCUAAAUGGAAUUGAAUCAGAAUCAACGUCUCUUUAUGCAUUCAUUUCAUGCAUUCGCAUUACAUGACAUCAUAUGCAUUAAAAUACAUUAAAAGUGCCUAAUUUUGUAAAAUUAUUUCAAUUAAUUUGGAAAACCAACACCCUUACGGAACUCAAGCAAAAACUAGAGAAAUGGACCAAAGGUUGGAGAAAUUAGAGCAAAUGCAAAUACAGAUGUAGGAGCAAUUGGCCAAAUUUCAACAAGAUAUAAGGGAUCAGUUGUUCGAAUUCCAAAAAAAUAUAAUGUGCCAAUUAACCCAGUUAUUGGCUGGAGGGUUAGAAAGAAAGAAGAGCCCAGCGGUCCACUUUAGGGAUAAUAAUGAAGACCCUACGAAUCCUCCAAGUUUUACCCCAACAAAUAUCCAAGCACAACCAAAUGCAUAUCCACAAAGGGUAAUUGUUAACAUUCGACCCCAAUAUCAGACCAGCAAAUCAAUUACAGUGAAUCAGCCAGGAAAGGUGGUUACUAAUCAGCAGGGUUCAUCAAGACAAGAACAGGUGUGAAGCCAGGUACUGAGAAGCUCCAGUUCAUACCAAUUCCGAUGUCCUAUAAGGAGCUGUAUCAAGGCUUGUUCGAUGAGCAUGUUGUUGCUCCUCAUUACUUAAAACCUCCACAACCUCCGUAUCCUAAGUGGUAUGAUGCGAACGCGCAAUGUGAGUACCACGCGGGAAUUACGGGCACUUAAUAGAGAAUUGUAUUGCCUUCAAGAAGCUGGUCGAAAAGCUCAUCAAUAUGGGCAUUGUCAAAUUUGAGGUUUCAUCCAGUGUAGAAAAUUCGCUACCCAAUCACAUUUGAUAAUAGGGUGAAUGUGAUGCAUGAAGAAGUGUUGAGAGGUGUUCACAUCAAUGCCAUAGAUGAAGACACAAUCGAAAAGGGACCUUGUUAGAUAUCCACCUUUGUAAACCUAGGAGUGUUUUAAGCAAUCGAACUGCAGAAGAAAUAUUUGUAGUAUUUAGGGCUUAUUUAGAGCAAUGUUCAAAACACACUUAUUGCUUUUAGCCUAGAGGCAAUAAGAAUUCCUUUGUGAAGUAGGCUCAUGUCUAAAUAUCGUUAUUUUAAUGAAAUGCAUCCUUGCGAUCAUUUUUUUGAACCAAUAUUCUUUCAGUCUGUCUGAAUAGUUAUUCUUUCAUUCUUUUGGAUUUUCUUCCAUAUCAUUCAUUCAUUCAUAAUCAUAUUGUACAGAUAGUUCUUCAUAAAUUUAUACAUUCUUUUGUAUAUUCUUUGGUAUUUAUUAUGGGCCCCCAGAUAUCAAUGACUUGAAUGACACUGCUACAGAUUUAAAAUCUCCUUUUGAGCAAGACAUGUGUUUAGAGGGAUCUCAUGACUUUGAAGAUGACAUAGAUCGUAGCCUAUCUCCAGACUUGUUGAGGAUGGUAGAGCAAGAAGAGAACAAAUUUUACCUCUUGAAGAGACAAUGGAGAUUGUGACUUUAAGAGAACAUGCAUAACCAGAUAAAUGAAACAAGACCUUAUUAAGCUACUUCAAGAGUUCAAAGAUGUCUUCGUAUAGUUAUACCAGAAUAUGCCCAAGUUAAGCACUGAUAUUGUAAUAUGAGCAAUAGCAGAACGUUAAAAAUUUGCAGUAUGUUCAAGAUUCACAUCAUGAAUGAUGCAGUUAGAUUUCUUUACCGGGGCAAUACCUUCUUCUCUAGCUUAUCCCAUUGAAGUCAAGUUGUCAUUUUUCUGUAUUUUUGCUGGAUUUCAUCCUAAUUGAAGCGGAAGAUCUAAAAUUUUCUCGUCAUAGUUACAUUUCUCCCCAAAAGGCUCUAUGAGAGAAACUUGAUGCCAAAGAAGAUCUUUCGUAUACAAAAUGAAAAUAGAAGAUCUUUUGGGGAAGACCUUAUCUGGAAUAAUAUUGAUUCUGAUUGAAAGGGAUGACCAGCACUUGCCUAAUACUAUGAGUGCAGAUUCAAUUCAAAAAAAAAGGAAGAAAGAAAGAAAGAAAAAGAAGAACAAAAAAUAAAAACAAAAAGAACCUCUACCGGGGCAAUGUCUUUCCCUUUAGCUUAUCACGAUUUUUCCAUUGAAGUUGAAAAUCUUUUUCUCCAGGUAUUGGCUGAGCUGAAGUAGGAUGAAGAUCCAAUCUCGAUACGAUUAGUUGAACUUAAUUGAAGGAAAUCGGCUAAAAGCUAUUCGUCACGAUCAGAUGUACCAAAAAUGGAUGAUGCGAACUUACAACAAAAAGGUUCGUCCCAGAGAAUUCCACGAGGGAGACUUGGUAUUGAAAAAUCCUUCCUCUACAAAAGGAUUUCAGAGAAAAAUGAGUGCCAAAUUGGGAAGGUCCUUAGGUUGUAAAGAAGACAUUUUCCGGAGGAGCACUGAUCUUGAGUGAGAUGGAUAGUAAAAAUUUGUCUAACUCAGAUUCAGUCAAGAAAUACUUCACUUAAAGAAUGAGAGGGCCUAGGUAAAAAUCCGCAAAGGGCAUUUUGGGUUGCAAAAAAAAAAGAGAUGAGAUGUGAAAAAAAUGAAAAUGAAAAUGGAAAAUGAAAAAUGGAAAAAGUAAAAGUGGAGAGGCUAAGGUGAAAACCAGCAAAGGGUGCCUUAGACCAAAGGGGAUUUGAGUUGAAAACCCAAAAAGGGCAGCUUAAAUUUUGAUCAAAAUGGGGCAUGAGGUAAUCAAAGUAGCUCAAAUUCUGAUCAGAUUGGGGCAUGUGGCGAUCUUGCUAUGCCUGAAUCAGCAGGAAAGGGUACGCGACAUUUUGGAGCAUCGACAAAGUAUUGUAGAUCUCCUAAGCACAUGUCAAACUCAGAAUGGUCUUUAGGAAGUUUGUAUAGAGAAGUUCAAGCUGCGAUAUCUGGGGCACCUAGUUUUCAUACUAUUUAUAUUGAAUUGCCUGUUCUUGGAAUACUUCAUUCUUUUUCAAGAUACGAGUCAAUUCCUCUUGUAUUCUUAAUAUUCUUGAUAAUAUGUUUAUUUCAAGCUAUGUUCUCAAAGCAAUUCUAUUUUAUCUUUUAUUUUGUUCUUUUUGCAAAAGUGUUGCAUUAGAAUAAUGAUCAAUGGACUAAUAAAACUUUCACAAGAGAAGUCUUGCAUAUUGCUCUAGAAGUUUCUAAAUAAUGCAGUAACUUGAAACAAGACUAUUUUUUAGAAUGCACUAGGUUUAAAGGUUGGAAAUUUGAUAAGGAAAGGUCUAAAUUGAGAUUAUCCCUUCAGAUUUUGUGGUCAAAAUAUUGAUUGAACAAAGUGACAAGAUGUCGUGUUGGUGACAAAGCAUCAAUGAACAAGCAAUCAAUGAUCACCUUGCAAUAAGAAGAGGUUUCCUCAGAGAAAGAAAUCCUUCAUUUGUGCAUAGGCAUUUGGUAUGACACCUUGAGAACGGUAUAAAGGACCAAAGUGCUUCACCUUACGAUAAGAGAAGAUCGAGAGGCCAGAUUUUUUUUCUACCCUUGGGUUACAGUGAAAAGAUGAUACAAAUUUCUGUGUCCCUGUGGAUUAAACUUUAAAGUUUACAAUGGGGUUUGUUUGAUUAAGUGUUGCUUCAGAGAUGCUAGCUGAGUAAGAGGACGUUGUAGUACGCCAGUGAUAAAGCCUUAAUAAACUUUGAGUAAUGACAAUCUAGGUGAUAAAAAAGAUCAUUCUCAAUAAAAUGACAUUCUACAUCCAUUCAAAUGUCAUUCAUACAUGUCUAGUUAGGAGCAUGUGAUUCAUUCUGAUCAUGAUAUCCUAAUUAUUAGUCAUAAUUAGGUUCAUAAAUAUGAAUUAUAUAGGUCAUGUUCCCCAGAGAACAAACUGAAGAAACCAAUCCUAUCUCCCUGAAGUUACAGUGGAGCGGAUUAACAUUCAAGAUCUUAUCUUUCUGAGGUUGCAGAGAGCAGAUCGCAUUAAGUCUUAUCUCCCUGAAGUUACAGUAGAGCAGACUGAAGAUCUAAUCCUAUCUCCCAGAGGUUGCAGUGGAGCGGAUUGACAUACGGAUCUUAUCUCUCUGAAGUUGCAGAGAGCAUAUCACAUCAAGUCUUAUCUCCCUGAAGUUGCAGUGGAGCAGACAGAAGAAACUAAUCCUAUCUUCCUGAAGUUGCAGUGGAGCGGAUUAACAUCCAGAUCUUAUCUUUCUGAGGUUGCAGAGAGCAGAUCACAUCAAGUCUUAUCCCCCUGAAGUUGUAGUGGAGCAGAUAGAAGAAACUAAUCCUAUCUUCCUGAAGUUGCAGUGGAGCGGAUUAACAUCCAGAUCUUAUCUUUCUGAGGUUGCAGAGAGCAGAUCGCAUUCAGUCUUAUCUCCCUGAAGUUGCAGUGGAGCAGACAGAAGAAACCAAUGCUAUCUCCCUAAAGUUGCAGUGGAGCGGAUUAACAUCCAGAUCUUAUCUUUCUGAGGUUACAGAGAGCAGAUCGUAUUCAGUUUUAUCUCUCUGAAGUUGCUGUGGAGUAGACAGAAGAAACCAAUGCUAUCUCCCUAAAGUUACAGUGAAGCGGAUUAACAUCCAGAUCUUAUCUUUCUGAGGUUACAGAGAGCAGAUCGCAUUCAGUCUUAUCUCCCUGAAGUUGCAGUGGAGCAGACAGAAGAAACCAAUCCUAUCUCCCUGAAGUUGCAGUGGAGCGGAUUAACAUCCAGAUCUUAUCUUUCUGAGGUUGUAGAGAGCAGAUCGCAUUCAGUCUUAUCUCCCUGAAGUUGCAGUGGAGCAGACAGAAGAAACUAAUCCUAUCUCCCUGAAGUUACAGUGGAGUAGACUGAAGAUCUAAUCCUAUCUCCCUGAGGUUGCGUGGAGCGGAUUGACAUACGGAUCUUAUCUCUCUGAGGUUGCAGAGAGCAGAUCGCAUCCAGUCUUAUUUCUCUGAAGUUGCAGUGGAACAGGCAGAAUAAAUCAAUCCUAUCUCCCUGAGGUUGCAGUGGAGCGAAUUAACAUCCAGAUCUUAUUUUUCUGAGGUGGCAGAGAGCAGGUCACAUCCAGUUUCAUCUCCCUGAAGUUGCAGUGGAGCAGACUAAAGAUAGCAAAUUUUGUUCUUUUAAGAAGCUACAAGGUACAAGUCCUACCUCCUUGAUGUUGCAGUGGAGUGGAUUGAGGUACCGAUUCCUAUACCCCUGAAGACGCAGUAGGUUGGGAUGAGGCUACUUGAAGAGCGCUAAGGUCCAGUAUGCCCGGGCAAAAUUGGCCAUCUUAAAGUCUUUGCUUUGUUCCCGUUACACGACAAUGAGCAAAGAGGGGCAGCUGUAAUAGGCCAUUUUAGCCCGGGCCUAAAUAAAUAAGUAUCAAAAAAAUAAAACAACGACCCAAUUACAUUUGGCCCAAUAAGGCCCAAGUCACUAAACCAAACCCUACAUCCCAACCUAGCCCUAAGCAGCGGUUAACAGUAGUCGCCCCACGUUAGGCAGUCUCCCAAACCGUCCCACGUCUUCAUUGGCACGUCCACUCGCACCACGCCCACAUAUCUGCAAACCGCAAAUAACAGGAAGAGGAUGAUACACGCAGAAAAAUAGAAAGGGAUUCGGGGUUAUAAAAAGGGAAAUAGAAUCUGUAAAAGGGGUUAGCAAAUUUUUGAGAAAAAAAUUAAAAAAGAAAAUACAAGAGAAAUAAAAGAUAAUUUUGAAGGUGACGGCUUGUUGUUCUUUUCUUCUGUUCUUUUACCAUUUUCAUUUUACUUUUGUUUUUCUUUUGCUUUCUAAAACAAAAGAGAUUAAAGAAGGGGAGUAAAGCUUACCAGCGUGGUGUUGUUGGAUCCCUUUGUUUCAUUACAAUCGAAACAGGGGAAGAGUUUUGGGGGAGGAGAUACGGCACAAUGACAAAGAAAGAAAAAUGGUUUUUAG